CCUAUUGAUUUUGGGGUCACUAGGUCAAAGGUCAAGGUCACAGUUACCCGAAAUAGUAAAAUGGUUUCCGGAUGAUAACUCAAGAACGCUUAGGCCUAGGAUCAUGAAACUUGAUAGGUAGAUUGAUCAUGACUCGCAGAUGACCCCUAUUGAUUUUCAGGUCACAAGGUCAAAGGUCAAGGUCAAGAUGACCCGAAAUAGUAAAAUGGUUUCCGGAUGAUAACUGAAGAACGCUUAUUCCUAGGAUCAUGAAACUUGAUAGGUAGAUUGAUCAUGACUCGCAGAUGACCCCAAUUGAUUUUCAGGUCACUAGGUCAAAGGUCAAGGUCACGGUGACCCGAAAUAGUAAAAUGGUGUCCGGAUGAUAACUCAAGAACGCUUAUGGCUAGGAUCAUGAAACUUCAUAGGUACAUUGAUCAUGACUUGUAGAUGACCCCUAUAGAUUUUCAGGUCACUAGGUCAAAGGUCAAGGUCACAGUGACAAAAAACAUAUUCACACAAUGGCUGUCACUACAACGGAGAGCCCAUAUGGGGGGCAUGCAUGUUUUACAAACAGCCCUUGUUUGCAUACUUGUUUACCAACAUCACCCCAAGCUAUAAACAAGAGCAGACCACUGUAUCAAGCAUUUUUACAUAA
Molecule: long non-coding RNA, 637 nt
Organism: Dreissena polymorpha
Lineage: Eukaryota; Metazoa; Mollusca; Bivalvia; Myida; Dreissenidae
Exons: 2
Source: RefSeq, a predicted model, not a curated record